AAGGACUAUAACUUGGCAAAGCACCUAGAAAUCGAUGUGCCAAAUCUGCAAUGGUAAAUUAUUGCAUGUUCGUUGUUGUGCUUAUAUUUUAAGUUUAAUUGUGCAAGAUGGUUUGAAAACAAUAAAUCAAUCUGUAGCCAACAUUAGAAGUUUAGUAACCAUCUUUCAUACAUCACCGACCAAGUACCAAGUUUUUCUAACAUGUUGUCAAAAUAUAGGGUUAAAACUCAUAAAUGUUCCAUUAAAUGUGAAAACUAGAUGGAAUUCAACUUAUAAGAUGUUGGAAGUGGCUACAAAAUAUAAAGCAGCUUUAGGAUUAUUUCAAACAAAAAUCAAACAUCAACCAUUUUUAAUAGAUGAAGAUUGGGAUAUUGCAUCACUUUGGAGAGAACAUUUAGUUCAAUUUUAUGGAUCCACUGAAAUAAUUUAUGGCUCUCACUAUCCAACUAUUCUUUUAGUACUAAAAGAAAUAACUAAAAUAAAAGACAUUUGUCUUGAAAUUGAAAACAAUGAUCUUUUCCAAUAGCUUAAUGUUUGUGAUAUGAAGUCAAAAUUUGCAAAGUACUUUGGGGAUUUGCCCUUGAUUUAUGGUUUGGGUGUAAUUUUAGAUCCAACGAAUAAAACAAAAAAAAUUAGAAGUGCUUUGUGAAAUUCUUUAUGAAGGAAAUUCAAAUACAUUUGUGAAAAAGUGCUCACAACAUUAAAAGAGUUAUAUGGAGAGUAUAAAUUAUAUUUGUCUUUGCAUGAUAGAUCACAACAAGAACGAGCAGUACCUACAUCAUCUACAUCUUGCACUUCAACAUUUAGUAGAAAAAUAAGUCGUGUGGAUGACCUUUGUGAUUCUAAAAGGUUAAACACAAACAAUUUUUCAUAAUGAAUUAUCACACUAUCUUGAUUCACACACAAAUGAUCAUGAUGAAAAUAAUCCUUUAAGGGCUAGUUUGGCAUUGAUGUGCUAUGAAAAUAAUCGCUGUCAGAUUUGCUAUGAGAGAAAACAUUUUGGCGUUUGGUAAACUUUUUGUUAAAAGUGUUGUUGGUACUGAUUCCCACAUAAUCAGAAAAUGAUUGCCGCAUAAUCAUUAAACUCAGCGCCUCUUCGAAACUGAUUCCUGCAUAAUCAGAAAAUGAAGGCACUUCAUUAGCUGCUUUUCCUUAUAGCUUUCUCUAACAAUAAUUUUUAACAAUAAGUGAUUUUCUCAUAGUUUACAAAACGGGUUGGACUUCCCAAAUUUUUUUUAAAAUCAAUUAUAAUUCCAAAUAAGCAAUGCCAAACGGGAGCUAAAUAUUUAGGCAUGGUGGCAAUCACAGCAAAAAAAUUACAUUGUGCUUUCCACCAUGGCCCGUGAUAUACUAACCAUUCCAAUGUCUUCAGUUGCUUAUGAAUAAGCUUUUAGCAAAGGUGGACUUGUUAUAAGUGACCAUCGAGCAAGUUUGGCUCUAAGUAGUGUUGAAGCAUACGUUUGUGGAAGUGAUUGGAUUAAACAAGAAAAAAAAUGAAAGUCAAGAAGAAAAUGAGUGUACAAGAUGAACAAGAAUGGCCAUAGUGGUUUGUCUGAGAUGCAAAAUAAAUAUUUUCUUUUUUGAUUGUUUUGUAGUCUACUUCAAUUUUGUUUCAACAUAAUUUCAAAAUUUCAAGUAUUGUUAUUAUAUUUAACUAGCCUCUCUGCACGCGCUUCCGCGCUUGCGAGAGGUUUUUUUAAAAAAAAUAAGUAAAUUUAUUUUAGAAUUAAAAAAGAUAAUGGAUAUUUGUGUUCCAUAAAAAUAGGAUCCAUUAUCUGAAUUUUCUUUUAAUUUUAAUUUUUUAAUACGAAAAAUUAUGAAUUUACCAUAUUAUCCUCAUUUAAUUAAUAAUUUCAAUUCUUAAUGUUUGCAUUAACCAAGGGCAUUUUCUGGUAUUUUAAAUGUUUCGCUAUUCUCUGCCUUUUGCUUUAUAUAUAUAGAUUAUGAAUAUAAGAAAGAUAAUGGGUAGUUGUUAUUAUAUUUCAAGGUUUUGUUUGAAGAGUAGAGAGGCUUUUUUUAAAAAAAAAAUUAAAUUUAUUUUAGAAUUAAAAAAAGAUAAUAGGUAGUUGUUUUCCAUAAAAAUAAGAUUCAUUAUCUGAGUUUUCUUUUAAUUUUAAUUUUUUAAUAUGAAAAAGUGUGAAUUUACUAUAUUAUCCUCAUUUAACUAAUAAUUUCAAUUCUUAAUGUUUUCUGGUAUUUUGAAUGUUUUAUCAUUCUUUGUCUUUUGCUUAUAUAUAAUGAAUACUAGCCUCUCCGCACGCACUUCCGCGCUUGCGAGAGGCUUUUUUUAAAAAAAAAUUUAAAUUUAUUUUAGAAUUAAAAAAGAUAAUGGGUAGUUGUGUUCCAUAAAAAUAGGAUCCAUUAUCUGCUUUUUCUUUUUCUUUUUUAAAAUAUAAAAAAGUGUGAAUUUACCGUAUUAUCCUCAUUUAAUUAAUAAUUUGAAUUCUUAAUGUUUGCAUUAACCAAGGGCAUUUUCUGGUAUUUGGAAUGUUUCACCAUUCUCUGCUUUUUGCUUUAUAUAUAUAGAUGAAUGGAGUUUUUAAACAGAAAAAACGAAUGGAGUUUAAUAAAGCCAAAAUAAUGGCCCAUUUCAUAGGGCUAAAUAGGCCCGACUCAUUGGCCCGGUCACAAGCCCGAAAAUGUAAGGCCCAUGAGCUUUGUAUAUUUGACAUAGGACUGACCCGGGAGAAACGUUCCUUUCACUUGACGAAGUUGUUUUCAAAAUGGGUAAUUGCAACCCGAAUGUAACAUAACGAGUUCAACCAUGGGAUCAAUUUGAUGGCUAUAAAAGUGAUCCCGCACAAUUUACCCCGUAUUAUAACCGCGCCAAGCUUGGUAUAUUUGACAUAGGGCUCGAUAACUCUUUAGGGCUGAGAAGGCCCGUUACUAAGCCCGGCCCGUUUUACAAGCCUAAUAACAAUAGAACAAUCAGAGUGAGCAGUCAGUAAAAAUCAGGGCGGGAUUCUUGAAAUUAUUUUCUAACUUUCGUGAAACCUAAUUGAACUCAUAUUCUUUCCAGCCGCCUCCUCUUCACUGUUCUCUCGUCUUCUUCAUAUCUCGACUCUCAUUCAUCGAUCCCCUCUCUAUGCUCAUGAUUCACUGUUGUCAAAUCGCUUGAUUCUCCGGCUUGCUUUGCUCUCUCCUCACAAUAUCAGGUAUAUCUCAUAUUCCGUCUGUAUCUGAGAUAUGAUUUUUUCUCUGAUUUUGUCUAUAUAUGUUUAUUUGGUUUCUGGGUAAAAGUAACGUCAAAUUUUUAAUAUUUCCAUUUUGAUAAUUAUUGAUGCCAUCUCUAUUUGCUAUUUGAUGUUCCUUCUUUCUAGUUUUUCAGUUUUUUUAGUAUUUAAAUCCUAUUUGCAUUUGUUCUCUGUGGUUCAACAUGUCAUAUUCAUUGUUGUUUUUUCGGUACUUACAAUUUUCUCUUUUAUAUUCUGAGGGCUCUCUAACACAGGUAAAAGAGUUGCCUUUACUGUUUUUUGUAUAAUAUUUGCCUUCAUUGUUGUUUAUAUUCUCAUGGAUUUUCCGAAGCUUUUUUCGGCUCAUAACUCUAUUGGAUGUGGAUCUUCUGUAUUGGAAGAUAAGGAAUUUCUCUCUUUUAUUUUCUUCCUCUAGUGCGAGAGAGACCUCGACCUUCUUCGUUUGCCGCCGUCUCUUCCUCCAGUCAUCAGCUCAACUUCGCAACCAUGGUAUUUCUCUAUCCAAUUCUCUGUUUGUUUCCUGUGAAACUGAAAUGAAAAUGAAAAAGAAAAAGUUUGUUUGUUCAUGGUUCUGAUAUGUUACAUUUGGUUUUUUCUAUCCUAGAUCAUCUCAGAGAAGAACAGGAGAGAAAUCUCCAAAUACCUAUUCCAAGGUACACGCAAAAAGAUUAGUUUUUUAUUUAUUCUCAAUGAAAUUAGGUUCUUCGUUUCCAUUUUUUUGUUAAAAUUUAUUGAAUUUAAUUUGAACAGAGGGAGUGUGCUAUGCAAAGAAGGACUAUAACUUGGCAAAGCACCCAGAAAUCGAUGUGCCAAAUCUGCAGGUGAUUAAGCUGAUGCAGAGCUUCAAAUCCAAGGAGUAUGUGAGAGAAACUUUUGCUUGGAUGCACUACUACUGGUACCUGACCAAUGAUGGUAUUGAGUUUUUGAGGAACUACCUCAACCUUCCAUCUGAGAUUGUCCCUGCAACUUUGAAGAAGCAGGCCAAGCCUCCUGGUCGCCCCUUGGGCCCAUCUGGUGACCGCCCACGGUAAUUGAUUUGUUUCAUCGUCUAUAUUGGUUAUUGGAUCUAUUGAUUUUUGUAGAGUCUGGUUCUUUGUUCUAGAGUAUGUGAUAUCGAUCAUUUAGGAAGAAGUUAUUUAACUGAUUUGUGUAAGUAAACUGCGACAGAUAUGUGCUUCCUUUUCUUGUUCGUUUGUUGAACCCCUUGAUUGGUUGGAAUGUAAUGUGGAUGUUUUGAUGAUGUGAACAGCGGCCCACCUCGCUUUGAUGGAGGAGAACGCAGAUUUGGUGACAGGGAUGGGUACCGUUCAGGUCCUCGUGCACCAGGGGGUGAUUUUGGUGACAAGGGUGGAGCACCUGCUGACUACAGACCUUCUUUUGGGGUAAUAUUUCCGUUGUCAAGUAAUUUUUUUAAUAUUUAUCAUUUAGGUACUUGUCUUUUUACCAUGUAUUGGGUUGAAGAUCAAUUGCCUUCCGAUGAUAUUCUUUUCUUCUUUACAUUUUGGAAUUGUA
RNAcentral lists this long non-coding RNA (4706 nucleotides) under Prunus persica (peach). Its description in RNAcentral is "long non-coding RNA (PPER_LNC001594)". The record is from RNAcentral. Lineage: Eukaryota; Viridiplantae; Streptophyta; Magnoliopsida; Rosales; Rosaceae.